GACGAACGCUGGCGGCGCGCUUAACACAUGCCAGUCGAACGGAAAGGCCUGCUUUCCCUUGUGGAUUGCGGGUACUCGAGUGGCGAACGGGUGCGUAACACGCGAGUGAACUGCCCCCAACUUGGGUAUAAGCCCGGGAACCUGGGUCUAAUUCUCGAUAGAACCGCAGGGUGGUGUCUGUGGUGGCAAACGAUUUUCUAGUGGUUGGGGAUGCGCUCCCGGCGUAUCUGCUUGUUGGGGGGGUAAUGGCCUACCAAGGCGGCGACGGGUAGCCAGCGGGGGAGGGUGCACGGCCGCAUUGAGACUCGGUUACGGCCCAGACGGCUACGAGCAGCAGGAGUGGUGAAGAUUGCACAAUAGGCGGGAGCCUGAUGCAGCGACGGCGCGUGGGAGAUGACGGCCUUCUGGUAGUAAACUCCUUGCGACCGCGAGGAAUCCACCUGGUUGGAAGGGUGGUGACGGUAGUGGUAGAAGAAGCACCGGCUAACUACGUG
This 494-nucleotide ribosomal RNA is filed under the name uncultured bacterium. RNAcentral describes it as "partial 16S ribosomal RNA". It matches the Rfam family "Bacterial small subunit ribosomal RNA", at positions 28 to 507 of the family's 1533-position model. The record is from RNAcentral.